AGAAACAUGGUUUAAAUAAAACAUUAAGUUGCAAACUUAAAGAUGGUAACCUCCUGUUUUUU
This 62-nucleotide transfer RNA is filed under the name Physella acuta. RNAcentral describes it as "transfert RNA-C(TGC)". The record is from RNAcentral. Lineage: Eukaryota; Metazoa; Mollusca; Gastropoda; Physidae.